Molecule: ribosomal RNA, 393 nt
Filed under: uncultured bacterium
Lineage: Bacteria
Description: partial 16S ribosomal RNA
Rfam family: Bacterial small subunit ribosomal RNA
Source: RNAcentral
AUACGGAGGAUGCGAGCGUUACCCGGAUUUAUUGGGUUUAAAGGGUGCGUAGGCGGCUUGACAAGUCAGCGGUGAAAUGCAAGGGCCUAACCCUUGACGUGCCGUUGAAACUGCCGGGCUAGAAUGCGGAUGCUGUGGGAGGAAUGUGUAGUGUAGCGGUGAAAUGCAUAGAUAUUACACAGAACACCGAUUGCGAAGGCAUCUCACAAAUCCGCUAUUGACGCUGAGGCACGAAAGUGCGGGGAUCAAACAGGAUUAGAUACCCUGGUAGUCCGCACAGUAAACGAUGAUAACUCGCUGUCGGCGAUAGACAGUCGGUGGCCAAGCGAAAGCGAUAAGUUAUCCACCUGGGGAGUACGACCGCAAGGUUGAAACUCAAAUGAAUUGACGGGG